CCCCGGCGAGGGGAGUGAAAAAGAACCUGAAACCGUGUACGUACAAGCAGUGGGAGCACCCUUCGGGGUGUGACUGCGUACCUUUUGUAUAAUGGGUCAGCGACUUAUAUUCUGUAGCAAGGUUAACCGUAUAGGGGAGCCGUAGGGAAACCGAGUCUUAACCGGGCGUUAAGUUGCAGGGUAUAGACCCGAAACCCGGUGAUCUAGCCAUGGGCAGGUUGAAGGUUGGGUAACACUAACUGGAGGACCGAACCGACUAAUGUUGAAAAAUUAGCGGAUGACCUGUGGCUGGGGGUGAAAGGCCAAUCAAACCGGGAGAUAGCUGGUUCUCCCCGAAAGCUAUUUAGGUAGCGCCUCGUGAAUUCAUCUCCGGGGGUAGAGCACUGUUUCGGCUAGGGGGCCAUCCCGGCUUACCAACCCGAUGCAAACUGCGAAUACCGGAGAAUGUUAUCACGGGAGACACACGGCGGGUGCUAACGUCCGUCGUGAAGAGGGAAACAACCCAGACCGCCAGCUAAGGUCCCAAAGUCAUGGUUAAGUGGGAAACGAUGUGGGAAGGCCCAGACAGCCAGGAUGUUGGCUUAGAAGCAGCCAUCAUUUAAAGAAAGCGUAAUAGCUCACUGGUCGAGUCGGCCUGCGCGGAAGAUGUAACGGGGCUAAACCAUGCACCGAAGCUGCGGCAGCGAACGUAUCACCCAAGACAACUUUACGGAGUUGACGAUUGACGGAGCGAAGCGACGUCAAAGCGUUCAUUAAAGUCGAGUUGGCUUAGGGAUACGUUCGUUGGGUAGGGGAGCGUUCUGUAAGCCUGUGAAGGUGUGUCGUGAGGCAUGCUGGAGGUAUCAGAAGUGCGAAUGCUGACAUAAGUAACGAUAAAGCGGGUGAAAAGCCCGCUCGCCGGAAGACCAAGGGUUCCUGUCCAACGUUAAUCGGGGCAGGGUGAGUCGACCCCUAAGGCGAGGCCGAAAGGCGUAGUCGAUGGGAAACGGGUUAAUAUUCCCGUACUUGGUGUUACUGCGAAGGGGGGACGGAGAAGGCUAUGUUGGCCGGGCGACGGUUGUCCCGGUUUAAGCGUGUAGGUGUGUGUUCCAGGUAAAUCCGGUUCACUUUAACACUGAGGCGUGACGACGAGGCACUACGGUGCUGAAGCAACAAAUGCCCUGCUUCCAGGAAAAGCCUCUAAGCAUCAGGUAACACGAAAUCGUACCCCAAACCGACACAGGUGGUCAGGUAGAGAAUACCAAGGCGCUUGAGAGAACUCGGGUGAAGGAACUAGGCAAAAUGGUGCCGUAACUUCGGGAGAAGGCACGCUGACACGUAGGUGAAGUGAUUUACUCAUGGAGCUGAAGUCAGUCGAAGAUACCAGCUGGCUGCAACUGUUUAUUAAAAACACAGCACUGUGCAAACACGAAAGUGGACGUAUACGGUGUGACGCCUGCCCGGUGCCGGAA
Molecule: ribosomal RNA, 1451 nt
Filed under: Salmonella enterica subsp. enterica serovar Typhimurium
Lineage: Bacteria; Pseudomonadati; Pseudomonadota; Gammaproteobacteria; Enterobacterales; Enterobacteriaceae
Description: partial 23S ribosomal RNA
Rfam family: Bacterial large subunit ribosomal RNA
Source: RNAcentral